UCCGUGUUAACCACGGCAGUCUCUUUAGAGUGCCCAACUUAAUGCUGGCAACUAAAGACAAGGGUUGCGCUCGUUGCGGGACUUAACCCAACAUGUCACCACACGAGCUGACGACAGCCAUGCAGCACCUGUCUCUCAGCGGUAUUGCUACCGAAACCGUAUUUCUACGGCGGUCCGAGGAUGUCAAACCCAGGUAAGGUUCUGCGCGUUGCUUCGAAUUAAACCACAUGAUCCACCGCUUGUGCGGGCCCCCGUCAAUUCCUUUGAGUUUUAGUCUUGCGACCGUACUUCCCAGGCGGGAUACUUAUCGCGUUAGCUCCGACUCUGCAGGGGUCAAGACCCACAAAGUCUAGUAUCCAUCGUUUACAGCGUGGACUAC
RNAcentral lists this unclassified non-coding RNA (379 nucleotides) under uncultured Oligoflexales bacterium. Its description in RNAcentral is "contains 16S-23S intergenic spacer region". Lineage: Bacteria; Pseudomonadati; Bdellovibrionota; Oligoflexia; Oligoflexales. The record is from RNAcentral.